ACAGGUGUGUGCCAUCACACUUGGCUAAUGUUUUGAUUUUUUUUGUAGAGUUGGGAAUUUGUUGCCAGGUUGCCCAUGCUGCUCUUGAAAUCCUGGCCUCUAGCAAUCCUCCUACCUUGGUCUUGCUGUUGCUUAAUAACCCUUAUUUGCUUAGAAACAAUGUGCUAUCAGCAAAGGAGUGAAUCUAGAUAGAAAAAUGAAGAGGUACCCGGCCUGGACCCUAAUUUCCCACAGACUAUAUUUCCAGAGAAUGGCCCAGAGAGGCUCCACCCAGAAGGCUGGGAUUCUGUUCACGGAAGCCCUGUGGGUCUUGGCACAGUGAUGCCUGAGAAAUAGUUGAGGCCUCCUGAAAGACUGGCUAGUUGAUUGAUCUUGUGAGAUUACUCAGUAUAACUCCUCUUUUAUUGAGCUUUGUAUCUGCAGUGGAGAAGUGUGUGGGGAAGAAAGGGUUCUAUCGAGAAUUUUCUCCAGAGGCAGAAUAGCACAGACAGUGAUUCUCAAAUGUGUAGUCCAGUAUCAUCAGCAUCACCCUGGAAAAUGCUAGAAAAGUAAAUCCUCAGGACCCAUCCAGGACUACUGAAUCAGAAACUCUGGGAGCAAGGCCCAGCAAUCUGUGUUUUACCAAGCCUUCCAGAUGCUUCUUCAUACUCAGGUUCAAGUGCUGCUGGGAUAUAGCAGUUAAGAGAUGAACCCUGUAGCCAGACUUCCCUUGCUAGAAUCCUGGCACUGUUACUUAUUCCUUGUAUGACUCUAGGUGAGUUGCUUGAUCUCUCUGUGUCUCAGUUUCUCCAACUGUCAAGUGGAGAUAAUGAUAGUACCACCUUCAGAAAGUUGUUAUAAGUAUUAGAUUUGGGAGUACACGUAGAAUAGUGCUUAGGACAUAGUAAAAACUCAAUAAAUAUUAGCCAUUAUUAUUGGAAGACAUGGUGUCAUGGAAGAAUGGGGGGAAUAUCUUUUCCUAGCUGCCCUCUUUUCAUGAGAACCCAAUGAACCUUUCUAGUGUAGCCUUCUCUGAGGAGCAGCUACAGGCUGGAGUUGCUGGGAUAGGGUCAAAACUGAGGCUAUGCUCAAAGCCUUACCUGUUGCUUCAAGGGAGCAACAGAUAUGUUGCCCUAGAAGGAGCUCUAAAUUUUAAAGAACUUUGCUCUCCUUAGCAUUGGUAAGACCAUUUCCUGACCUAAGGGGCAGAAGGUUGAUUCCUUGCCGGAUUUUUCUGGGAGAAACCGUAAGUGUCUAAGAGAAUGCAGGUUAUAAGGAAAUUCACACAGACAUCUCAAAAUAAAAUUCAUUUACAAUUAACUUUAAAUAUUUUAAAAUUUUUUUAUUUAAAAAAUUAAAAGGGGGGCUGGAAGUUGAUUUUGAAUAAUAACUAUACAAAGAGGAGAGGGCAGAGGAAGUUGAGCUGAGCUGUCUGGGGUGCUGUGGCGUGGUGGGCUAGCUACACUAACUGUGGCUGCCGUUUGGGUGCUGCCUGGCUGGCUGGGUCCUUGGCCUUCUCUGUAGCGUCCAGUGCUGUCUCCUUUGCCUUCUCCUUGGCUCCCUUAGCUGUCUUGACAAGUGUUUUGGAAGGGGCCACACUGUGCAGCUUGGCCAAGAUAUAAACCCUUUAUCGUCUUGAUCACAUUGGUUUUGAAUUGGGCGAGACCAAAUUCCUGGACAGCUCUGGAGAUGCUUAAAUAAGCUAUAGGUUACCCAGGCUUUCCAGUGGAUUGGCGUCCAGGUGCUGCUGCCAGAGUUCCCAGAGUAAGCACGUGGUUCCUCCACUACCACAGCCAGAUGUGGUUGAUGUUCCAAGUGAAGUGGUCAUGUCUGAUUCGGUGGCUUCACAGUAGAGUGUUUCAGGAUGGACACUGAGCGAGUGGCACUGGGGAAACAGUGGCUCAGCCCAGCGGGGCGUCUGCUGGUCUUGGUCAGGCCGCCAGGACUGGAGCUCAGGGGUCUCCGCCCCGUGUAAUAUGUUUGCUGUAGGGAUUUGGGUACCGCUGUCAUUAGGCAGCAAACACUUGGUCCCAGGACCUCCGGAGCACGCUCCAGCCCAGGAAGUACUUCACCAUCAUCCUGGCUGGGAUGGGCUUGGCACACAGGCAGCAUCAGAGUGCAGAGGGUGGGGAGUAUGUGGGGUCAGGCCAGGUUGGGCACCCACCCCCGACCAGACCCCACAGCAUGCCCAAGCACCCAUACAGUCAACUUUAAAUUGCAUGUUUGGGGAAAGAGUCCAUACAGAACCAAAUGGCUAUGUGAUGUUAUAACCUCUCCCAUAGUGUGGAGGUCACUGUUGCAACUUUUAAAUGGAAAAUUUUUCCCAGAGUUGCUACAGACACAUGCAUCAGCACAGCCUCAGAACCCACUUUCCAGUCGAGAUAGGUGACAUGGUGAUUCCUCUUCUUCCAAGGUUUGAAACUGUCCCAGGAAGAAAUACAGCUUGACUGAAUUAAAUUGUUUUCAAUAAGAUUUUUAAGAAACCCACCAAAUCAAUUGGGGUUUUACUUUUGGCAGCCCCAGCAGCCAAACUGACUCAUCCUUAUGGCUGAUCCAUUAAGUAAUGCACAAGUAGUUGAUGAGAUGACCAGAAAAAGUGAUUUCGCUAGGGAAAAAUGUUUGGAAUUGAAAGCGGCUGGGAUUUAAGCUCAGGAGCUCACAGGUUCCACCCUAGGACUUAGCAGCCUCAGGGUUCAGGCAGCCACUUACCCUGCUUUUAGCAGGGUCAUUGCCUAGAAGGAUAGGCUAGAACUAGAGCAGGCUGGGUCAGGGUCUUUCUAGCCAAUGUGUAUCUUUGAACCUGUGCAGGCCUCUAGGCUACAGUGUGCAAACUGGUGUCCUGAAGACCAACCCAAGAGCCUUGCAUCUCUCUCUCUUUAUCCUGUUGCAGGUCUGAGAAUCUUUUGAGGCCAAAGAAAAUGAAUUCUAAAGCUCAGGCUUAGAUCCAGCAGCCAGUAUGAAAGCAUGUGCCGUGGAGAUGCAGCGCAGCAUUCCAGGAAUGUGUUCUCUGAGGACCAAGUGCUUUUCUUAUCUCA
This is a long non-coding RNA of Sapajus apella (tufted capuchin), 3014 nucleotides long. RefSeq lists it as uncharacterized. The transcript is spliced from 2 exons. The record is from RefSeq and is a predicted model, not a curated record. Lineage: Eukaryota; Metazoa; Chordata; Mammalia; Primates; Cebidae.